UCUGGUUGAUCCUGCCAGUAGUCAUAUGCUUGUCUCAAAGAUUAAGCCAUGCAUGUCUAAGUACAAACCUUAAUACGGUGAAACCGCGAAUGGCUCAUUAAAUCAGCUAUGGUUCCUUAGAUCGUCUCAUCCUACUCGGAUAACUGUGGAAAAUCUAGAGCUAAUACGUGCUUACAAGCCCUGACCUCACGGGAGGGGCGCAUUUAUUAGAUCAAAACCAAUCGGGGCUUGCCCCGUCUGCUUGGUGACUCUGGAUAACUUUUGUGCUGAUCGCAUGGCCUCUGCGCUGGCGACGUAUCUUUCAAGUGUCUGCCCUAUCAACUUACGAUGGUAGGUGAUAUGCCUACCAUGGUUAUAACGGGUAACGGGGAAUCAGGGUUCGAUUCCGGAGAGGGAGCCUGAGAAACGGCUACCACAUCUAAGGAAGGCAGCAGGCGCGCAAAUUACCCACUCCCGGCACGGGGAGGUAGUGACGAAAAAUAACGAUACGGGACUCUUUUGAGGCCCCGUAAUUGGAAUGAGUACACUUUAAAUCCGUUAACAAGUAUCUAUUGGAGGGCAAGUCUGGUGCCAGCAGCCGCGGUAAUUCCAGCUCCAAUAGCGUAUAUUAAUGUUGCUGCAGUUAAAAAGCUCGUAGUUGGAUCUGAGGACUCGAAUUGGUGGUGCACCAUACGGUGUUACUGCCGAUUCGGCCUACCUAGUCGGUGCUCGCUCUUGGUGUUCUUAAUUGAAUGCCCUGAGUGCCCGGCAAGUUUACUUUGAAAAAAUUAGAGUGCUCAAAGCAGGCCAUUAGCCGGAAUACUUCAGCAUGGAAUAAUGGAAUAGGACUUCGGUUCUAUUUUGUUGGUUUUCGGAACCCGAGGUAAUGAUUAAGAGAGACAGACGGGGGCAUUCGUACUGCGGUGUUAGAGGUGAAAUUCUUGGAUCGCCGCAAGACGAACAACUGCGAAAGCAUUU
RNAcentral lists this ribosomal RNA (957 nucleotides) under Macrostomum lignano. RNAcentral's name for it is "SSU rRNA". It matches the Rfam family "Eukaryotic small subunit ribosomal RNA", at positions 1 to 956 of the family's 1831-position model. The record is from RNAcentral. Lineage: Eukaryota; Metazoa; Platyhelminthes; Macrostomidae.